GUGGGGAAUAUUGGACAAUGGGCGAAAGCCUGAUCCAGCCAUGCCGCGUGUGUGAAGAAGGCCUUUUGGUUGUAAAGCACUUUAAGCGAGGAGGAGGCUACCGAGAUUAAUACUCUUGGAUAGUGGACGUUACUCGCAGAAUAAGCACCGGCUAACUCUGUGCCAGCAGCCGCGGUAAUACAGAGGGUGCGAGCGUUAAUCGGAUUUACUGGGCGUAAAGCGUGCGUAGGCGGCUUUUUAAGUCGGAUGUGAAAUCCCUGAGCUUAACUUAGGAAUUGCAUUCGAUACUGGGAAGCUAGAGUAUGGGAGAGGAUGGUAGAAUUCCAGGUGUAGCGGUGAAAUGCGUAGAGAUCUGGAGGAAUACCGAUGGCGAAGGCAGCCAUCUGGCCUAAUACUGACGCUGAGGUACGAAAGCAUGGGGAGCAAACAGGAUUAGAUACCCUUGUAGUCC
Molecule: ribosomal RNA, 451 nt
Filed under: uncultured bacterium
Lineage: Bacteria
Description: partial 16S ribosomal RNA
Rfam family: Bacterial small subunit ribosomal RNA
Source: RNAcentral